AGGUCAGGACACGGUAAGGAUUGACGGACUGAAGGCUCUUUCUCGAUUCCGUGGAAAGUGGUGCAGUUGGCCGUUUUUGGUUGGUGGAUCGAUCCGUCUGGUUAAUUCCGUUAACGAACGAGACCUCGGCACUCCGAAUAGCGCGGCGGACGUCGCGGCCUCCGGGCCGUCUUCCGCACGAGCUUCUUAGAGGGACCGUCCCCCGCCGGGGAAGGAGGUGCGAGGCAACGACAGGUCUGUGAUGCCCUUAGAUGUUCUGGGCCGCACGCGCAUUACACUGACGCGUCCAACGGGUGACUCCCGACCCGAAGGGGCCGGGGAAUCCGCAAGGCGCGUCGUGAUGGGGAUUGAACGUUGCAAUUGUUGUUCACGAACGAGGAAUUCCUAGUAGGCGCGGGUCAUCAACCCGCGCCGAUUACGUCCCUGCCCUUUGUACACACCGU
Molecule: ribosomal RNA, 443 nt
Filed under: uncultured eukaryote
Lineage: Eukaryota
Description: bacterial SSU rRNA
Rfam family: Eukaryotic small subunit ribosomal RNA
Source: RNAcentral